RNAcentral lists this unclassified non-coding RNA (726 nucleotides) under Hevea brasiliensis (rubber tree). The record is from RNAcentral. Lineage: Eukaryota; Viridiplantae; Streptophyta; Magnoliopsida; Malpighiales; Euphorbiaceae.
AGUCUUCCCUUCCUUAGGCCUAAACCGCCACGCCAUAUGACAGGAACUAUCAUUAGACCCCCUGACCGGCUUCCCAAACCGGUAAAAAUGUAUAUCCUUAAACUUCUCAAUGGCAGCUCUCAUCAACAAAUGAAACACAUCCGGGUCAGUGCAAUCAACAGGAUCAUCAAUCUUGCCACUACAGUCCAAAUUAUUCUCAGUGACACCACCACCAUCAGCAUUCUCCGGAACAUCAACAUCAUUGAGGUUAAUGAACGUCGUAAACGCUGUCUGAUUAACACCAAGAAAGUCCUCACCAGUCCUCACAACACUAUCAUCAGCUCUAAAUGUAGCAUUAGAUUUGGAAGUAAGGAAAUUAGUGAUUUUUGCUGAAGGGUGGAACAAUGGGUCUUCAGGCUGAUAAGUUGCAGCAAUUAUAGUGAAAACCAAAACCCCAACUACAAAUAUAGUAAAACAAAGAUUCCCAAUCAUAGCCAUUGCAUUUUGACCCAAAUUUUCUGGCCUGAAACUUCCACUCCUAGACAGCAAAAGUGAAGGCCGACCCAACAUUUUUUCCCCACUUUUUCUCACUAUAGCAUUAAAGCUUCAAACACAACAAAGAACUAAAUCUCAUACAGCUUGGUGAUUGAACAUAGAUUUCAGUACUUCUCUUUCAUUCUCUCUGUGAGUGGAGAGUAAUCAGUAAAGUGAUGCUAAUUUACUUAUUAUGUACACCGACAAAAACAU